This 305-nucleotide ribosomal RNA is filed under the name uncultured bacterium. Its description in RNAcentral is "partial 16S ribosomal RNA". It matches the Rfam family "Bacterial small subunit ribosomal RNA", at positions 505 to 807 of the family's 1533-position model. The record is from RNAcentral.
ACAGCAGUAGCCACGGUAAUACGUAGGGUGCAAGCGUUAAUCGGAAUUACUGGGCGUAAAGCGUGCGCAGGCGGUUUUGCAAGUCAGAUGUGAAAUCCCCGGGCUCAACCUGGGAACUGCAUUUGAAACUACAAGGCUAGAGUGUGUCAGAGGGGGGUAGAAUUCCACGUGUAGCAGUGAAAUGCGUAGAGAUGUGGAGGAAUACCGAUGGCGAAGGCGACUCUCUGGUCUGUAACUGACGCUGAGGAGCGAAAGCGUGGGGAGCGAACAGGAUUAGAUACCCCUGUAGUCCCUGUCUCUUAUAC